This 475-nucleotide ribosomal RNA is filed under the name uncultured organism. Its description in RNAcentral is "partial 16S ribosomal RNA". It matches the Rfam family "Bacterial small subunit ribosomal RNA", at positions 335 to 801 of the family's 1533-position model. The record is from RNAcentral.
ACUCCUGCGGGAGGCAGCAGUGGGGAAUUUUGGACAAUGGGGACAACCCUGAUCCAGCAAUGCCGCGUGAGUGAAGAAGGCCUUCGGGUUGUAAAGCUCUUUUGUCAGGGAAGAAACGGUGGUGGCGAAUAACUACUACUAAUGACGGUACCUGAAGAAUAAGCACCGGCUAACUACGUGCCAGCAGCCGCGGUAAUACGUAGGGUGCAAGCGUUAAUCGGAAUUACUGGGCGUAAAGCGUGCGCAGGCGGUUGUGUAAGUCAGAUGUGAAAUCCCCGGGCUCAACCUGGGAAUUGCAUUUGAGACUGCACGGCUAGAGUGUGUCAGAGGGGAGUAGAAUUCCACGUGUAGCAGUGAAAUGCGUAGAUAUGUGGAGGAAUACCGAUGGCGAAGGCAGCCCCCUGGGAUAACACUGACGCUCAUGCACGAAAGCGUGGGGAGCAAACAGGAUUAGAAACCCGGGUAGUCCCAUGAU